This 253-nucleotide ribosomal RNA is filed under the name uncultured bacterium. RNAcentral describes it as "partial 16S ribosomal RNA". It matches the Rfam family "Bacterial small subunit ribosomal RNA", at positions 524 to 776 of the family's 1533-position model. The record is from RNAcentral.
UACGUAGGAGACGAGCGUUGUCCGGAGUUACUGGGCGUAAAGGGUGCGCAGGUGGCGUCGCGCGUGGGGGGUGAAAUCGCCCGGCUUAACUGGGCGGGGGCCUUCCAGACGGCGUGGCUUGAGCAGCGGAGGGGGAAGUGGAAUUCCGGGUGGAGCGGUGAAAUGCGUAGAGAUCCGGAGGAAUACCAGAGGCGAAGGCGGCACCCUGGGUCUGACCUGACACUGAUCCGCGACAGCAUGGGGAGCGAACGGG